CAUGCAAGCCUAGCAAUUUCUACUAUUGAUGUUCCACAUUAUCCAGUGUCAAAAAGUGGUGCAUGAGGGAUAUUAGAAACUGUUGGGUUCCUGUAAGUGCCAUUCGUAGACCUGUUGCACUUCUAAUCCCUUUCUGAACCUACUCAUUCUGUCUUCCACAGGCUGCUAUGGAGAGAAGGUUUCUGAAGUAUCUCCUCUGUGCACAAAGAAUUACUUUCUUCGGGAGCAGUGAACGAGUGGAUGUGCAGUGCCGAGCUGCCAGGUUUAACCUGCCAGGUUAAAUCACUACAAGAAAGAAGAUGAAGAGAUUAUAAGUAGCCAAAGUCUAUUGGUGGCUACUGAGCAUAGUAGUAGGGGUGAAACCUCCACUUCUGACUCAGAAGCUGCUUGCUCUUGUGACUGCCAGAAAUGUGGAAGACAUGUUCCUCUAAUAUAAUUUCAUAUAUGCACUUACAUUUACUCUUCCCUUAUCUUCUGGUCAUUCAUCAGAUUGAUAGGAAGCAGCUGAGUUGCUUCAUGGACCUGAAUGCGUCAGUGACAGAACAAGAAAAACCUUUUAUAUCUGCCAUCCAAGCAAUCUCUUCCCCUUUUCAUCUUUCAGAGCUGCAAGCUCUAGCCUUACAGCUUCUCAGUGAAGAAUAUAUUUUAUUAUCUGGAGAAAACGAUGGCUGGCUGCUUGAUAGGAAUACACUGAGCAUCCUUAUCCUCUGAAACCAUAUGUCUGCACCUUGCCAGGUGGAGCUCCAUGUGUCCUUGGGAGUACUGGUAUCUCUCUGUCUCCCAGACCUGGCUGACAAGCCUAGUACAUCAAGAACAGUGCCUUAUAGUUCCUGGCAUCCAGUUAUCUCCUCUAUAGCUAUGCCAAAUUUGAACAGAGGUCCAAGAGAUGCCAUUGAGUCAGUAUUUGCAAAAUGAACUAUUUCAGUUGUACUUUCAGAUUCAGGAAAAAAGUAACAUAUGUGGUUAUUUUUUAAUUUACAAGCACAAACUUUUAUGCUGUAUGUUUAAAAAGGUCCCAAAAAUGCAUGUAAUAAAACAAAUAACACUCUUAUCUAGGCACUAGCUAAGACUGCUGCAUUGUGAGAAGCAUGUGUCUCAGUCUGUUUUUCUCCCAGCAAAGCGUUUACAAGACCCUUUGAGAGUGGAAUGCUCUUUGCUGGGCAUAUGGGGUAACUAAAAUUUUUGGAGUGCCAUCAUUUCCCAUCAUGUUCUGGUAUAGCGUAGCAAAUCUUGUUCUGGGAAAGGAUUUGUGCCAGCAGGGUAAAAGGCACCCUAAAACUGAUUUAUAUCACUUUUAUGGACUACUUGAGGGUAUUACUGGGAAAAGGAAUGAAGCAAUUUGAAUUUUCAUAUUUUGGAGUGGAUACUAUGCUUCCAAUACUGUUUCUCUGAAAAUAAAGCUCACAUUGAUCAGCAGGUAC
This is a long non-coding RNA of Lagopus muta (rock ptarmigan), 1421 nucleotides long. RefSeq lists it as uncharacterized. The transcript has 3 exons. NCBI's taxonomy places the organism in Eukaryota, Metazoa, Chordata, Aves, Galliformes, Phasianidae. The record is from RefSeq and is a predicted model, not a curated record.